GAUGAAGAGCGCAGCGAAAUGCGAUAAGUAGUGUGAAUUGCAGAAUUCAGUGAAUCAUCGAAUCUUUGAACGCACAUUGCGCCCUUUGGUAUUCCAAAGGGCAUGCCUGUUCGAGCGUCAUUUGUACCCUCAAGCUUUGCUUGGUGUUGGGCGUCUUGUCUCUAGCUUUGCUGGAGACUCGCCUUAAAGUAAUUGGCAGCCGGCCUACUGGUUUCGGAGCGCAGCACAAGUCGCACUCUCUAUCAGCAAAGGUCUAGCAUCCAUUAAGCCUUUUUUUCAACUUUUGACCUCGGAUCAGGUAGGGAUACCCGCUGAACUUAAGCAUAUCAAUAAGCGGAGGA
This 341-nucleotide unclassified non-coding RNA is filed under the name soil metagenome. RNAcentral describes it as "partial contains 5.8S ribosomal RNA, internal transcribed spacer 2, and large subunit ribosomal RNA". The stretch from base 1 to 120 matches the Rfam family "5.8S ribosomal RNA", at positions 35 to 154 of the family's 154-position model. The record is from RNAcentral.